UGGGAAAUGGAAAGAAAUUGGAAAAGAAGUUUUUUUUUGUUUUGUAAAGUGAUAUUUAUAUGAAAUUAUAUUAAGCACCUUAGACACAAACAGAAAGGAUUGGAUGGCAAGUCAUCCACUUAUUCUCUGUGUUUUUGCAUUUUUAUAUUUCUUCUAAAAACGUACAUAUUGCCUGAUUUCUGCCAGGUUAUGGGGCUGAAUAAGCAGAUAGUUCCCUAGUUUCAUGAAACUUUCAUUGGAGUGUUUGCGUUUGGGAGGAUAGGAGGAACAGGAAAUAAGAAACAGAAAUAGCCUGUGGAGUGUUCCUGAGUGUUUGGCAGAGAAUAUUUAAAUGUCAUGCCAAAAGAAAAGUGACUUAAAUUUGUCCAGGGAAGCCUACUCUGAGGAGUGAAUUUUAAACUGAGAUGUAAUUGACAGAGCAAAACCAACCAUACCAGGAUUAGAAGAGUUAACAGCAGAGUGGAGGCGCCCAGGUAGGAGUGAGCCCACAGGUUAGAGGAAGCAAGAGAAGGGAGCUCUGAGUCCUGAUCAUGCAGGAUAUUGUAAAGCCAAAGAGAGAAAUUUUGCUUAAAUUCUGGGUACAAUGGGAAGCCACCAGCAUAUUUUAAGCAAGAUUAAAUGGCAUGCUUUCUUUGGUUUUGAAGAGAUCAUUCUGGCUACUAUGGGCAGAAAGGAACCAUAGACAGAGGAAAGCAGCUCAGAGACUGGAGGUGGGCUUGUCUCAGUGACCAUGGGCAGAGGCUGACACUUUGCAGCAGGAAGUGCUGGUGAGAAAAAAAUGGAUGUAUUUUAGACUUUGAUUCCAUGUUUUAAUAAUGAGGUGUGGGAAGGCACAGUCAUUGCAACUCAAUUCAAAGAGAAGAGCAACCAGUCUGAGAGGGAAGGUGGGUGGGAAGUGGAGAGCUUAGAGAAGUGUCUGCAAGAUGAAGUAAGGAUGAAUGACAAGUCCUCUCAGCAAGCCAAAGCAGACUCAAUAGAUAAAAAUGGGCAUUUGACUGCAAAGCAUAUUUAACUUCUUGUGCUAGACCCAUAAAUAAUUUAGACUUUUUUUUUUCAGAAAUUAAAACAAAAUCAGGCAAAGCAAUUAAGAAAAUGUAGAGACUGUGCUUUUUUUCAUUCCCACUUUGAACGCAGUGCUUUGUUUGAAACUAGGAAGGAUAUGAAAGGUUGUUUUGAGAGUGCUCCAUCCCAGAGACCUGUGCAAGAUCAGCUCCAUCUCUGAAACCCAGUCCAGUGCUCUUACUAGUUAGAUCUCAUCUUUAUAUACUGAAUUCAUUAUUUUUAUCUUCCAAAAUCAGAACAUUUUCAAAAGAAAAGUUAAGUAGGAAAACAGAGCAGCGAACAGAAACAUAUGAGGGUAAGAGGCUAGGCAUGUGGCCUGGGCAAGGAUCCCCGAGCGGAAAGAUGCUGAGGAAGAUCCUAUUUGUGUUCACUUAUCUUUACUCAAAGGAGACAAAAAAAAGACCAGAUGCCCUUUUCACCCUAUCUUACAUUCAUUCCUCUUUUCCAUUGUUGAUCCUGUCAUAGGCAGAAGAUGGAAAGGGGAAGGCUUCAUAGCAAGGGCUGAUCAAAGAUAAAGUUAGAAGGUCAGAAGACAUGCAGCCUCUGUAGUGGAGAUGUGGCACCAUGAACACUGCUUGGGUAUUAGACGGUUGGCUUCCCAAGAAAGCUGUUUACUAGAUUUGUGACCAGGGGGAAUUCCUUGGAGUCUCAGUUUUCAUAUCUUCAUAAGGGGAAAUAAUAAUAAUACAGAUGCCUGGAGGAUCAUUUGCGAAUACCUGCAAAAUAUUUCCCAUGGGGCCUGUUGCCAACCCGGCUCACAACUGUUCACUCAACGUAAUGGACAUUGGGAUGUUGAAAUGCAGGUAGCUCUUUUCUUCAAAGCCCUUUCUGCCUUUCUACAGUAAAGAGAUGCUGGGAUAUGAAAGAGAUUUGAAACAACUAGUUCCCCAACUUAGACUAGAAUGCACUGAAAUAGAGAGACGGGGAGAGAGAAAGGGAGGGAGAGAGAGAGAGACAGAAGGAGACAGAAGAAAGGGCGAAGAGGAGAGGAGAGGGAAGAAGAGAACAGGGCUAGAAUGGAAUGAGCUAGUCAGGAGCUAAUUAAUGACCAAAGAGGAAGAAAAGAAAGCAAUGCAAACAAAUGAAAAUGCAGCCAAGGCAGAACAAACUGGAUAGGAAUAUACUUAGAGAAGUGUCUUGCUGUUGUGCAGGCUGCCUCAAUCUAAAAUAGCAUGGGUGGCCUUCAUUCAUGGCGAUGAUCACUGAAGUGGCUCUGAAGUGUCUUUGUACCUGAAAAAAUGGGCUUGUGUUGAUUUUUUGAACAUACAAUUAAAAUUGUUGUCUUUAUUGUAAAGGUCCAUGUUUCAUUUAAUAGUCUACCAGAAGUAUGAGGACAUCAUUUAAAAACACUUAAAUUAGAAUGAAAUAGUAAUAAAAAUAAGAAGAACAGACAUUUUAUUGAGAGUUUAGCUGAGUUGGGCACUGACUUCUUUUCCUCCAUUAUCUAAUGUUGAACUCCAGGUAGCAGGUUCUAUAUUUCUGUUCAUUUUAGAAAUGAGGAAAUGGAUGUUUAAGAAGUUGAGUAACAUCCGAAAUAUCCUCCAAUUAUUAGCUGACUUCGGGAUUCAAUCCUGGGUCGGCCUGACCCCAGACUUCAGUGUCACUAACCACUAUGUUAGGAAGAAAAUAUAGGAGAUAUGGACGAGUAAAGGUAAUCUUCUUCCACACUUGGGUAAAAUCACAAGCUUGGGAGAAUUGACACCGUAAUGUAGGAAUUCUUCCUUGGACAAGCUGAAAAUCAUUCUAUUUCAGUACAUUAAAAGGCUUCACUCUAUUAAGAUUUUGGAGAAGAAUGAGCGAAUUUGGUAGUGUAACUAACAGGCGGGGAAGGACUGUCCCUUAUGGCUUGGCAAUCAGCAGCAAGGCAGUUCACAAUGGAGAGACGCAGACGCCUUUGGGGCGGUGCAGCCAGAGGGGAGUGCACCUGGGACUGAGUGUCCGCCUGGAACUGCAUGGGCUCCGCACCGCCACCUGCCCCACGCCACUAGAGCCCAGAGCACGGAUGGGCCCAGACUGUCCUACAGCCGUUUCGGCAGGCGCGGGUCUGUCCAGCAGCACCUAAACAGCUUUUGUAUGUCCUGUCUCCAAAGUGUGUGGCUCAAAGUCAGGUUCUGUGCUUUUGAUGACAAUAUUUUCUUUGGGUCGGGGUCAUUUUCAUCUGUUGCCCCUUCUGCCCAACCUUUGCUCUUCCCCCCGGUCCUCCUCACCCCGCCCCUUCCUCUGCCUGUCUGCACACCAACCUCCUUGGGCUCCCUCAUUCUCCGGUUCUUGGCUUGGUCUGACUGGGGACUUCUCACACCUAGCUUGUCGUGGCGCUCUAGGGCCAUUGCAUCUUGGUUAAAAGGCCUGUCUCUGCAGACUGAAGGCUCUCUGCGGGCAGGACCAGGCCUGUCUGGCGUCUCCCUGCCGGCCCUCGGAGCUUGCUCCACGUAUACUGGCUGAAUGUUCUGAGAGACCCGCGGCCCAGGAUUGCUGAGUCGCUUAUGUGUCCGCUGUUCACAGCUGUGCGUGCGUGCGUGUGCAGGGAAGCAGCCAGGCAGAUGCACAUGGUUAUUUAUAUCUUCAGAUUAUUUCUGUGAGGAAAAUUCUAUCCUGGUGAAAGAGCUUGCUGUUGAAAAACAGUAACUGUACCCAUAUAGACACCACAGUAUUCGCUCAAUGUAUUUGACAGGCACACUCAUAUUGUCAGGGUAAAAGGAGGCAGCGGCCUCUUUGAAAUGCAGGGACAGAACAAGUGACAAGGAAAAAACACACAGCAGGUAUGUCCACAUUGUUGUGAAACCAUCUCCAGAACUCUUUGAUCUUGCAAAACUGAGACAGCGUACCUAUUACACAUCAACUCCUCAUUCCCAGUUCUCCCCCAGCUCCUGGUAGCCAUCAUUCUACUUUCUUUCUCUAUGAAUUGCAUUACUCUGGAUACCUCUUCCAAUUUUUAUUAUAGCCUGCUUGACGUUGUAAAGAAAUCAGAUGUUUGGCCCAGUAACCAUUCUCCUCUCUGCUUGCUUCAGCACGCUGAAAAUCAACUGGUAGCUUCAGCUCUAGCAGACGGAGCCCUGAGCUCUCCUGGCUUGCACAUGCGCUUAUACGUACACAAAAAUGCCCUGCUCCCUAGUUUCUGCCUGCACGAGUUCCUCCAUAUCCCUGCCCCAGGGCUUCCGGCUUUACUUUCUCCUCACAGCCCUUCCUGUAGACUCCUUUGCAAAAAAAAAAAUAUUAUGUUUGCCUCAUGAGCUCCCGGGGCACAGCUUUGCUGCCUCUCAGC
Nomascus leucogenys (northern white-cheeked gibbon) is the source of this 4324-nucleotide RNA transcript. RefSeq lists it as uncharacterized. The record is from RefSeq and is a predicted model, not a curated record. The transcript has a single exon. Lineage: Eukaryota; Metazoa; Chordata; Mammalia; Primates; Hylobatidae.